Molecule: unclassified non-coding RNA, 338 nt
Organism: Erinaceus europaeus (western European hedgehog)
Lineage: Eukaryota; Metazoa; Chordata; Mammalia; Eulipotyphla; Erinaceidae
Gene: 7SK
Rfam family: 7SK RNA
About the family: 7SK was discovered as an abundant small nuclear RNA in the mid-70s but a possible function has only recently been suggested.
Source: Ensembl
AGAUGUGAGGGCGAUCUGGCUGCAACAUCUGUCACCCCAUUGAUCGAUCGCCAGGGUUGAUUCGGCUGAUCUGGCUGGCUAGGUGGGUGUCCCCUUCCUCCCUCACCACUCCAUGUGCGUCCCUCCCAAAGCUGCGUGCUCGGACGUAGAGGAUGGCCUUCCCCAAACAGAGACAGAUGGGUCUUUCAUCGAGGGUAUAUGAGUAGCCACGUUCCCCUGCUAGAACCUCCAAACAAGCUCCCAGAAUAGCCAGUGUGGUGUCAUGAGUAUAGAAUCCAGACAGCUGGGUCACAGACUGGCUAUAUCAAUAUAACUGUGCAAGUCCUGAUCAAAUAUUU